Molecule: long non-coding RNA, 275 nt
Organism: Ochotona princeps (American pika)
Lineage: Eukaryota; Metazoa; Chordata; Mammalia; Lagomorpha; Ochotonidae
Exons: 2
Source: RefSeq, a predicted model, not a curated record
UACUCCCUUGGCAAACAGGCAUUUGCUGUUGUCUUCUCAGGCUGCCCCCUGGGCCUUAUCAGGGCUGGCAGUGUUUGCCUGGCUGGAAAACGCUCCCUCGUGUUCAUGGAGAAGCGGUAAAUGAGAAGCCGUCUCCUGCCUUCCUCAGUGCCAGCCGGCCGAGCACCAAGCAACCUCUGAAAUAUUAUCUCCUCAUAAACCUCAGCAGACAGUGUUCUUCUCAGAGGCCAAAGAGAUGGAGCCAUCAGAUCUUGAAUUUCCAGCCUCCCAAAAAG